This 674-nucleotide ribosomal RNA is filed under the name Microbacterium sp. B2_11. Its description in RNAcentral is "bacterial SSU rRNA". It matches the Rfam family "Bacterial small subunit ribosomal RNA", at positions 54 to 742 of the family's 1533-position model. Lineage: Bacteria; Bacillati; Actinomycetota; Actinomycetes; Micrococcales; Microbacteriaceae. The record is from RNAcentral.
CAUGCAAGUCGAACGAUGAAGCCCAGCUUGCUGGGUGGAUUAGUGGCGAACGGGUGAGUAACACGUGAGCAACCUGCCCCUGACUCUGGGAUAAGCGCUGGAAACGGCGUCUAAUACUGGAUAUGUCCCGUCACCGCAUGGUGUGCGGGUGGAAAGAUUUUUCGGUUGGGGAUGGGCUCGCGGCCUAUCAGCUUGUUGGUGAGGUAAUGGCUCACCAAGGCGUCGACGGGUAGCCGGCCUGAGAGGGUGACCGGCCACACUGGGACUGAGACACGGCCCAGACUCCUACGGGAGGCAGCAGUGGGGAAUAUUGCACAAUGGGCGGAAGCCUGAUGCAGCAACGCCGCGUGAGGGAUGACGGCCUUCGGGUUGUAAACCUCUUUUAGCAGGGAAGAAGCGAAAGUGACGGUACCUGCAGAAAAAGCACCGGCUAACUACGUGCCAGCAGCCGCGGUAAUACGUAGGGUGCAAGCGUUAUCCGGAAUUAUUGGGCGUAAAGAGCUCGUAGGCGGUCUGUCGCGUCUGCUGUGAAAUUCCGAGGCUCAACCUCGGGCUUGCAGUGGGUACGGGCAGACUAGAGUGCGGUAGGGAGAUUGGAAUUCCUGGUGUAGCGGUGGAAUGCGCAGAUAUCAGGAGGAACACCGAUGGCGAAGCAGAUCUCUGGGCCAUAACUG